RNAcentral lists this transfer RNA (647 nucleotides) under Borrelia parkeri. RNAcentral describes it as "partial 16S-23S ribosomal RNA intergenic spacer". The stretch from base 72 to 146 matches the Rfam family "tRNA". Lineage: Bacteria; Pseudomonadati; Spirochaetota; Spirochaetia; Spirochaetales; Borreliaceae. The record is from RNAcentral.
CUAAGAGAAAGAAAUUAUUAUAAGGCAAAUUAUUAUUUUAACUCUUCCUUUGUCUUUUCAAAGACUUUUUUGGGGGUUUAGCUCAGUUGGUUUAGAGCAUCGGCUUUGCAAGCCGGGGGUCAAGGGUUCGAAUCCCUUAACCUCCAUUUGUUUAUUGUAAAAUUGAAUAAAUGGAGGUUAUAGCUUUUAAAGAGCAACUUGUGUUGUAUCAAUUGAAAGCUAGCUUCAAAAAUUAAAAAAAAUCCUAUUAAAAUUUUGAUUUCCAGAUAAAAUAUUUUUUUGUUUAAUAAUUUAACUAGAGUAAAUUCUCAUUUACAAGAUAAGCAAUAUAAAAAAUAAGGGUGUUACUUAUUUAUUUUAUUUAAGUUAUUUUAAAAUUUUUUAGCUUGUAGGAAAUAAUUUUACUUUAUGCAAAUUUUAAGAUAUUUAAUGUUCUUAUUUGUUUUAAGUGAAUAAAUAUAAUAUAUGGUUUGAUAUUUCAGGUCAUGGGUUUAUAUUACUUGUUGUCUUGAUGGUUUUAGUGAUAAAUUUAAAUAGACUUAACAGAUUUUUAUUGCAUACGACAAGCUUGAUUUCAGCUCAAAAAUGUACCUUUAAUUAUUUUGUUGAGAUUACUAAAUGCUUAAGAGGGUUUGAGUUUGAUCGAU